AGUGAACGCUGGCGGUAGGCCUAACACAUGCAAGUCGAACGGCAGCACAGUAAGAGCUUGCUCUUACGGGUGGCGAGUGGCGGACGGGUGAGGAAUACAUCGGAAUCUACUUUUUCGUGGGGGAUAACGUAGGGAAACUUACGCUAAUACCGCAUACGACCUACGGGUGAAAGCAGGGGAUCUUCGGACCUUGCGCGAUUGAAUGAGCCGAUGUCGGAUUAGCUAGUUGGCGGGGUAAAGGCCCACCAAGGCGACGAUCCGUAGCUGGUCUGAGAGGAUGAUCAGCCACACUGGAACUGAGACACGGUCCAGACUCCUACGGGAGGCAGCAGUGGAGAAUAUUGGACAAUGGGCGCAAGCCUGAUCCAGCCAUACCGCGUGGGUGAAGAAGGCCUUCGGGUUCUAAAGCCCUUUUGUUGGGAAAGAAAAGCAGCAGGUUAAUACCCCGCUGUUCUGACGGUACCCAAAGAAUAAGCACCGGCUAACUUCGUG
This 492-nucleotide ribosomal RNA is filed under the name uncultured bacterium. RNAcentral's name for it is "partial 16S ribosomal RNA". It matches the Rfam family "Bacterial small subunit ribosomal RNA", at positions 29 to 507 of the family's 1533-position model. The record is from RNAcentral.